Long non-coding RNA from Cornus florida, 820 nucleotides. RefSeq lists it as uncharacterized. Lineage: Eukaryota; Viridiplantae; Streptophyta; Magnoliopsida; Cornales; Cornaceae. The transcript is spliced from 3 exons. The record is from RefSeq and is a predicted model, not a curated record.
UACCGGACAAAAAAAAAAAAACCCAACUUCUAUCAAUUUCUUCCCAAAAGAAGCUUUAACGAGGUUAGGGUUUUCAACCUAUCGCCUCAGGCUCAGGUGACUCCAUGACAAGGUAUUUCUUCCCAAAAGAAGCUUCAACAAGGUUAGGGUUUUCAACCUAUCGCCUUAGGCUCAGGUGACUCCGUGACAAGGUACGUUCACCCUCUCUCUCUCUUCUCUCUCCUUUUGUAUUAAUCGAUCUUUUUGUUUUCCUCUCUCUAAGCGCACUCCAGUCUCACAGCAGCAGCAACCAUGCCCCUUUUCCUCGUAAUUUUUUGCAUUUUCACAUUCAAUCCUACGAAAAUUAAAAAUCCCUUCUAGUGGGUUGAGGACUUGAGUGGAUGGGAGGGUCUAAAUUCUAAAAUGGGUUGGUUGAUUUUAGAAUCCAGAGACAAUAAAGAUGGUCCGAAAGGAGAUCAUGGAAAGGCUGGACAGAUGCUUUGACUGAGAACUUGAGGUUGUUGAUUUGUCCGGUUUUGUAUUCUCAAGCACAUACAGCUACUUCCUUGGAUUUUGUACUAUGGAUUUUGCAGCUACUUCCUUGGAUUUUGUACAGUGCAGUGAUUUUUUGACAAGUGCAGACUGAAACUCAAGUGUUAGAAGGUUUAUCAAUUUUUCAACAGAAGUGUUAGGAAAUUGAUGAUUUUCUUCACAAAUGGAUUUACUUUAUGUUUUGGAACAUUGAUAAAUGUUGAAUUGUUUUGCCACAUUGAUAAAUGAAGAAUUGUAAAAAUGUUUUAACUCUUUUGAUAUAUUUAAUGAGAUAUGUUUUUUAAAUUGA